AGAGUUUGAUCMUGGCUCAGGACGAACGCUGGCGGCGUGCUUAACACAUGCAAGUCGAACGAUGAAGCCCUUCGGGGUGGAUUAGUGGCGAACGGGUGAGUAACACGUGGGCAAUCUGCCCUUCACUCUGGGACAAGCCCUGGAAACGGGGUCUAAUACCGGAUAACACUCUGUCCCGCAUGGGACGGGGUUAAAAGCUCCGGCGGUGAAGGAUGAGCCCGCGGCCUAUCAGCUUGUUGGUGGGGUAAUGGCCUACCAAGGCGACGACGGGUAGCCGGCCUGAGAGGGCGACCGGCCACACUGGGACUGAGACACGGCCCAGACUCCUACGGGAGGCAGCAGUGGGGAAUAUUGCACAAUGGGCGAAAGCCUGAUGCAGCGACGCCGCGUGAGGGAUGACGGCCUUCGGGUUGUAAACCUCUUUCAGCAGGGAAGAAGCGAAAGUGACGGUACCUGCAGAAGAAGCGCCGGCUAACUACGUGCCAGCAGCCGCGGUAAUACGUAGGGCGCAAGCGUUGUCCGGAAUUAUUGGGCGUAAAGAGCUCGUAGGCGGCUUGUCACGUCGGAUGUGAAAGCCCGGGGCUUAACCCCGGGUCUGCAUUCGAUACGGGCUAGCUAGAGUGUGGUAGGGGAGAUCGGAAUUCCUGGUGUAGCGGUGAAAUGCGCAGAUAUCAGGAGGAACACCGGUGGCGAAGGCGGAUCUCUGGGCCAUUACUGACGCUGAGGAGCGAAAGCGUGGGGAGCGAACAGGAUUAGAUACCCUGGUAGUCCACGCCGUAAACGUUGGGAACUAGGUGUUGGCGACAUUCCACGUCGUCGGUGCCGCAGCUAACGCAUUAAGUUCCCCGCCUGGGGAGUACGGCCGCAAGGCUAAAACUCAAAUGAAUUGACGG
Molecule: ribosomal RNA, 893 nt
Filed under: Streptomyces flavogriseus
Lineage: Bacteria; Bacillati; Actinomycetota; Actinomycetes; Kitasatosporales; Streptomycetaceae
Description: bacterial SSU rRNA
Rfam family: Bacterial small subunit ribosomal RNA
Source: RNAcentral